AAAGCAACGCUCGUGCCAUAGUGAGAUUUUAAUUAUUGUGUUUUAUAUGCUUUUUUCUGUGAUUUAUUUCUAAAUUAAAAUGAUGGUUUCAGUUGUAUUCGAAUUUAUUUUAUUUUAUGUCAAGACCCCGUUAUUGUGGAGUAAUGAAGCUAAUAUGUCAUACAUUAAUUUCACAAAUGACUAAAUAAAUAUUUAUGAUAAAUACUAUGAAAAUAAAGAAAGGAUGAAAGUUGGAGAUAGUUGAUCUAGGACCUCUCAUUUAUGUAAAAAGGAUGUUUUAAUCUUAAAGUAGUUAUCAGGGCCAGUCGAUUUUUCUCAUGAUGCCAAGUGAACGAGAAUCUGCAAAGGAUAUUGCAACAAGAGCUAAGUGGUUUGAAUUUAAAUGAUUAUCAUUAUCAAAAUUGAUGUCAAUUUAAAUGUUUGUUAUUAAAUCAUCCACAAUAGAUUAGUGAUCAGCAAUAAUUAAUGGAGCAUUAAUGCAGAAAUCAAAGCAUUAUGAUCAAAUUAAAGAAAAAAGAACGAAGAGAAAUUGGUAAAUAUAAAACGAGAAUCAAAUUAAUUAGACAGUUUAUUACAUCCAGUGUGCCGGUAUAGAAAUAUUAUACAAAUUCGAAGAUGUUUUCGAAAGAAUUACGAAACGUUAAAACUACAUGGAUUUUUUUCUUCUUUUUUCUUUCUUUUUUUCUUCUUUCUUUUUUUAAACAUGUACAUACAAGAGAGCGACGUGUAACGUUUCUAUACAAACACCCAACAUGGCGAGCAUAAAAGUGUGCGCACACAAAACGACCCGCCAUUUCUACCAAACGAACUGUCCUAAUUAUAAAUUCUAAUUUACCGGA
Molecule: long non-coding RNA, 839 nt
Filed under: Polistes canadensis
Lineage: Eukaryota; Metazoa; Arthropoda; Insecta; Hymenoptera; Vespidae
Description: uncharacterized LOC106789450, transcript variant X2
Source: RNAcentral